GGGGCUGUGGCUCAAUGGAAGAGCUUCUGUUUGGCAUGUAGAAGGUCCCAUGUGCAAUUACUGCCAUCUCCA
This 72-nucleotide transfer RNA is filed under the name Sphaerodactylus townsendi. Its description in RNAcentral is "tRNA-Ala". It matches the Rfam family "tRNA". From Rfam's summary of the family: Transfer RNA (tRNA) molecules are approximately 80 nucleotides in length. Lineage: Eukaryota; Metazoa; Chordata; Lepidosauria; Squamata; Sphaerodactylidae. The record is from RNAcentral.